CGGCAAUCCUCUGUUGGAUUCUGUUACUUCUGAAUCUGCUGGAGAUAAGAUCACAGAAUAAGGCUGAACCAAUGGAAGUCGAUGAGGUCUGUGAAACAGUGAAAGAGCAGCAGAGACGAGACAACCAGAAGAUUCUUCAGUCUCUGGAGGGGUCGAAGCUUGCUAUCCCUAAGCCACCUCCAGAAUGAGGAGUUAAAAGACCAUGGCCGGAAAACUAAAAUUCUGUAUUGGUUGUUGAAGGGCAAAGAGACAACUAUUGAUCCGUGUUAGUUAACGGGGAUGCUUUUGCGAAGGACGGAAUGAUAUCAGGCCGUCAUGUGUGGGUUUGGAGGUCGUUGCAUCUCAUAGAAAGCCGAUUUUUCACAUUUGGUUAGCCGUUAAUAGUAAUAUUCAAUCUCUUACCGGGCUGGUGGUUGCAUAAAGGUGCCUAUUGCCACCAAGAUUCGAGCUUUUGUUGAUAUUUACCCCCAUCCUGUGAAGGAAGUUCGAGUGAGGGAGUGAAGGGAACAUAUUUGCACCUGCACCACAAAAAUCAUGUCUCAGCUUGGGUUAAGAACGAUGAAUGAGAUGGUUAGGUGAUCGGGCAUGCUUGAGAUCGACAAGGAAAUAACCAAGAACAACGAGAAGCUUGAGAACAUUGACCUGUCCCUCCUCCUUAGACCUGCUGUCGAUAUUAGGCCUGAUGCUGCACGGCACUGUGUCCAGAAGCAGGAUCAUGGGCUGGAUGUGGCUUUGGACAAUGAGCUCAUUUCACUCGCAGGACCUGCUCUCGAGAAAAGCAUCCCGGUAUACAUUGACAUGACCAUUUGCAAUGUGAACAGAGCAGGCGGAACUCUGCUGAGUCACGAAGUUACAAAUCAUUACAGAAUGCUUGGGCUUCCUUCUGAUACGAUCCACGUGAAGUUCCCCAGAAGUUACGAACCUGCAGAAGGUUGAAGUAGCUGCAUCAUCUGAGCAGUCCGUUGAAAGGCCUGCUGAAGUUACUAAUGCUACGAGACAUGGCGGUUUUAUCAAGUACGAGAGGAGCAGCGUUCAGUAGAGGGAGCGUAACGUUCGGGUCAACGACUGGAAGGAAGUCAAGGAGGAGACAAAGCCCAGGCCCCUUUUGAACACACACCCAGUCUGCUCGGUGCAUGGAGUGUGGAACUCCAUUCUGCCAUCAGAGGAGAGCAUGACAGCCCCAUAGACGACAUGGCUCUUCCUCGAAGACUGGCUAUCGGAUUAAAGCCCGUACGAAGAAACCAAAGAUUCAUGAGCUUCGCAAAGCUCGAUUACCAGCAUUGUUUGCUGCAUGCAGGUAGCUACUCUGCUGGAUUAAGAGCUCCUACACUGGCAUUGUCGUUCCUCGAAGCGGAAGCUGUCGAUAAGUUUCUUUAGACACCAUCCUUCCGGUACCAUUUUAGUUUUAAACCAUUUCUUAAUGUCUGAUUGCCGUUCAAAUUUGAGGCUUUAAGUCAGAUAUAAAUCAUUUUUG
Punica granatum (pomegranate) is the source of this 1474-nucleotide non-coding RNA. The record is from RefSeq and is a predicted model, not a curated record. NCBI's taxonomy places the organism in Eukaryota, Viridiplantae, Streptophyta, Magnoliopsida, Myrtales, Lythraceae.